UGGAAGUUGAAGUUAAGAUUGGGCAGCCUCU
This 31-nucleotide non-coding RNA is filed under the name Rattus norvegicus (Norway rat). The record is from RNAcentral. Lineage: Eukaryota; Metazoa; Chordata; Mammalia; Rodentia; Muridae.